RNAcentral lists this ribosomal RNA (243 nucleotides) under uncultured Lactobacillus sp. RNAcentral's name for it is "partial 16S ribosomal RNA". It matches the Rfam family "Bacterial small subunit ribosomal RNA", at positions 122 to 355 of the family's 1533-position model. Lineage: Bacteria; Bacillati; Bacillota; Bacilli; Lactobacillales; Lactobacillaceae. The record is from RNAcentral.
UAACCUGCCCAAGAGAUCGGGAUAACACCUGGAAACAGAUGCUAAUACCGGAUAACAACAGAUGAUGCCUAUCAACUGUUUAAAAGAUGGUUCUGCUAUCACUCUUGGAUGGACCUGCGGUGCAUUAGCUAGUUGGUAGGGUAACGGCCUACCAAGGCGAUGAUGCAUAGCCGAGUUGAGAGACUGAUACGGCCUACAUUUGGGACUGAGACACGGCCCAAACUCCUACGGGAGGCAGCAGUC